Molecule: non-coding RNA, 12489 nt
Organism: Oryctolagus cuniculus (rabbit)
Lineage: Eukaryota; Metazoa; Chordata; Mammalia; Lagomorpha; Leporidae
Source: RefSeq, a predicted model, not a curated record
GCCGGAGCGCCCGCAGGCGGUGCUGCCGGAAGCCCCGCCCAUUGGCCGCCGGGUUCGUGGCUGGCUGGCCGCGGCUGUCACUCCGGGGCCGUUUCCCUGAGGCCAGCGCUCUGCUGGGGGCGGGAGGAAGAGGGGCCGGACUGGGGCCUGAAGAGCCGUCGCUGUCUUCGCUGCUGCUAUGACCAGCGGCCGAGGCGCCCUCCGCAGUCCCGCGCAGCGCUCGUAGCGGCCGAGCUCCCGCCGAAGCCGUCCGGGUCCCCAGCGUGGCCGCUCCCGCGGCCCCUCGGCUCUUCCGUCGCCGCGCGCUAGGCGAGGCGGAGGCAGGAUGAAGAUGACGGUGGAUUUCGAGGAGUGUCUGAAGGACUCACCCCGCUUCAGGGCUGCUUUGGAAGAAGUAGAAGGAGAUGUGGCUGAAUUGGAACUAAAACUUGAUAAGCUUGUGAAGCUCUGUAUUGCCAUGAUUGAUACCGGAAAAGCCUUUUGUCUUGCAAAUAAACAGUUCAUGAACGGGAUCCGAGACCUGGCCCAGUAUUCUAGUAAUGAUGCUGUAGUUGAAACAAGUUUGACCAAGUUUUCUGACAGUCUUCAAGAAAUGAUAAAUUUUCACACAAUCCUGUUUGACCAAACUCAGAGAUCAAUUAAGGCACAGCUUCAGAACUUUGUUAAAGAAGAUCUUAGAAAAUUUAAAGAUGCCAAGAAGCAAUUUGAAAAAGUCAGUGAAGAGAAAGAAAACGCAUUGGCAAAAAAUGCCCAAGUACAAAGAAACAAACAGCAUGAAGUUGAAGAAGCCACAAACAUUUUGACAGCCACAAGAAAAUGUUUUCGACAUAUAGCCCUUGACUAUGUACUCCAGAUUAAUGUUCUUCAAUCAAAAAGGAGAUCUGAAAUCCUAAAAUCAAUGUUAUCCUUUAUGUAUGCCCAUUUGGCGUUCUUUCAUCAAGGAUAUGAUUUAUUUAGUGAACUCGGACCCUACAUGAAAGAUCUUGGAGCACAGUUGGAUCGACUAGUUGUGGAUGCAGCAAAGGAGAAAAGAGAGAUGGAACAAAAACAUUCCACCAUUCAACAAAAGGAUUUCUCCAGUGAUGAUUCUAAGUUAGAAUACAACGUCGAUGCUGCAAAUGGCAUUGUUAUGGAAGGCUAUCUGUUCAAGCGAGCCAGCAAUGCCUUCAAAACUUGGAACAGGAAAAAGCCCGAUCAUAUCAGACGCUGGUUUUCAAUACAGAACAAUCAGCUGGUUUACCAGAAAAAGUUUAAGGAUAAUCCCACUGUAGUAGUUGAAGAUCUCAGGCUAUGCACUGUGAAACAUUGUGAAGAUAUAGAAAGGCGAUUCUGCUUUGAGGUGGUCUCUCCAACUAAAAGUUGUAUGCUCCAGGCAGAUUCUGAAAAGCUACGCCAGGCAUGGAUUAAAGCUGUUCAGACCAGUAUUGCUACUGCUUAUAGAGAGAAGGGUGAUGAAUCAGAGAAGCUGGAUAAGAAAUCAUCUCCAUCCACAGGAAGCCUAGAUUCUGGAAAUGAGUCAAAAGAGAAAUUAUUAAAAGGAGAAAGUGCACUGCAGCGGGUCCAGUGUAUCCCUGGGAAUGCUAGCUGUUGUGACUGUGGUCUGGCAGAUCCACGGUGGGCCAGCAUCAACUUAGGCAUCACCUUGUGCAUUGAGUGCUCUGGGAUUCACAGGAGUCUUGGGGUUCAUUUUUCAAAAGUGCGAUCUUUAACUUUAGACACCUGGGAGCCUGAACUUUUAAAGCUUAUGUGUGAGUUGGGGAAUGAUGUUAUAAACAGAGUUUAUGAAGCUAACGUGGAAAAAAUGGGAAUAAAGAAGCCACAACCAGGACAAAGACAGGAGAAAGAGGCAUAUAUCAAAGCAAAAUAUGUGGAAAGGAAAUUUGUGGAUAAAUAUUCUGUAUCAUCAUCACCUCCUGAGCAGGAAAAAAAGGUUGUCUCCAAAGAUAGCGAAGAAAAGAGGCUGAGCAUUCCUAAACUUGGGCCAGGCGACCAAGUCAGAACAUCCAUCCAGAGUUCAGUGGUUGCUGUAAAUAGCGACGAGGCCAGGCGGGAGUCUCUGUUCUGUCCUGAUGAGCUAGAUUCACUCUUCUCCUACUUUGAUACUUCUUCAAAACUGCGUAGUAUUAAAAGUAAUGACAGUGGAAUCCAGCAGAGUUCUGAUGAUGGAAGAGAAUCUUUACCCUCCACAGUGUCAGCCAAUAGUUUAUAUGAGCCUGAAGGAGAAAGGCAAGAUUCUUCUGUGUUUCUCGAUUCUAAACAUCUUAAUCCAGGACUUCAGCUCUACAGGGCUUCAUAUGAAAAAAAUCUUCCAAAAAUGGCUGAGGCUUUGGCUCAUGGUGCAGAUGUGAACUGGGCUAAUUCAGAGGAAAACAAAGCAACACCACUUAUUCAGGCUGUAUUAGGGGGCUCUUUGGUGACAUGCGAGUUCCUUCUACAGAAUGGUGCUAAUGUGAACCAAAGAGAUGUUCAAGGGCGGGGACCACUGCACCAUGCCACCGUCUUAGGGCAUACAGGGCAGGUGUGUUUAUUUCUAAAACGAGGUGCCAAUCAACAUGCCACUGAUGAAGAAGGGAAAGACCCUUUGAGCAUAGCUGUAGAAGCAGCCAAUGCUGAUAUAGUAACCUUGUUACGCUUAGCAAGAAUGAAUGAAGAGAUGCGGGAAUCCGAAGGACUUUAUGGACAGCCAGGUCAAUAUUCUACUAAUAAUCAUACUGAAAUGCAGUAUAAGAAAUGCAUUCAGGAGUUUAUCAGUUUACAGUUGGAAGAUUCAUAGUUCAUUAGCAAACCAACAUGACAACUUAGUUUUUAUAACUUACUUGUAAAUUGUGAGUUGUUAGGUAUGGACUGUACUUCUUACAUUCUUGGGUGGCUAAUCUUGGGCCUUUAAAAAUCCUUAAUUACUCCUAUUACAGUACCCCUUGACUUGCUAUAGUUAAGUCCGGCUGCUGACUUUAUCUGCUGUACAGAUGUCUUCCAUAUACAUUCCAGUGAAGUGAAUGGAAUGAUAAAAGUAUUCUUUAUAUAUACUUACAGCAGCAAAAUGGUUGGUUUCUUUUUGGAAUUCUUUUUAGCUGUCAAAUGAAUAUAACAAAAUUGUUUUCUUUUUGUUAUUCAGGGAAUUUCUAUGAAUUGUGUUCAGGGAAAAAGACAAAUCAUGUGUUUGAUAUGUAACGAGUCAGUAUGGAAAGUAUCAUGAAAAAGUUUAUUGAUGAGUCUUGUAUGCCUAUCUGAAAAUGAUUUGAAGAUUUAAGAUAAAAAUAUACCAGUAGAUUGAGAAGUUCACAAAGGGAAUGGAAUCAGUUUAAAAGGUUGAGGAAAAAGUUCUCACUUUAUCGUUAGCUUUGCCUCAAGCAGUUGUAUAACAUCUAUUGGAUAACUGCAAGUAUUUAGACCAGUAUUUUGUGAACCUAAUGGCUAAGUUGACUUAUUCUUAUUAGAGAAAUCUUAAUUCAUGAUCAUUUCAAGUUACAUUUUGAAUAAUUUUCACCUGUGAGUCAAGAUGUCAAGAAAUAAGAAAAUGUGUGCUGAUCAGAUUCCCGUCUUUGAUGAACAUAUGCUGGUGAUAUAUUCUUCACCAAGAAGAGAAUAAUUAUUUCAUGAAUUUGAAUAUAUGAAUUACUAUUCUGCUUUAAAUUCAUAUACAUAUUAGUAAAAAAUUCAGGAAUUUAUGACUAAAAGACUUGACAGUGUUCAUUCAUUUAAUUGAAUUAAAAAGGGGAAUAUUGAUGCAUUAAUUUAAAAGUGGCCUGAUAAUAUCUUUUAUUCUUCUUGUUUAAAUGGGUUUUAAAAUCUCUGUAUUUUAUGCUAGUUUAAAGUCAUUUACUUUAUUUUAGCCAGAUAAAUAUAUAAUAUCAGUUUGGGGGCAUUCUUUUCUUAGAGAACAGUAUUGGCUGCUUCUUUUUGGCUUAAUUUAAUAGAGAACAAGUGAGAAUUUUGAGAAUGGAGGCACUUGAACUAGAUAUUUCCAAUCUAGGUGUCCUGCUUUAAUCCUAUGGAUCGUAGAAUACUGCUUACUCUUAAUAUUCCAUGAAGAGGAGUACUGGUUAAGGGUGAAGCUCUAGAAUUAAUCCUGGAUUUCACCCAUUUGUUUUAAACUUGAAUGCCAGAUUUUACAUAAGUUAUAAUUUUAUAACAGAUAUAUGUAUGUGAUAGUAUUACUGGGCCGUUUUUGAGGCCUUUGUGUUUAAGCACUUUAAAAUAAACAAUGCUCAAAGGAUAUGACCUGAGAUAAGAGAGAACAUCAAGAUUUUAAGUUAGAUAAUUUUUUUUCCCUGAAAUUUUAAACUUAAAUGUUUGGUGAGCUACUCUUUUCCUUAAGGUGUGUGCUGCUGAAGUUCACCCAAGUGAUUAGUGCAAAGGUCAGUGGUCAGCUCUUCUCUGGAAGUGGGAAGACUGACAGGUCAGGGCCUCUGGGUUGUUGCCACCUCCAUCUGGUUCCACCCCAAUUACUUGGGUUUUGGCUCUCACCAUUUGGUAUUCACAUGUCUCUUUCACUAUGGUAUAUUUAUUAAGUUUAUCCAGAAGUAUAUGAGUAAUCCCUUCCAUGCAUAGUAGAAACAUGGAUAUUUCUAAUUUAUCUUAAUGAAAAUUAGAAAAAAAAGCAUUUUAAAACAAGCUCUCCUCCCAUUCUCAAAUUUUAGUUUUGAGGUUAAAAAAUAGAUCAGAAUUCUGGAAAUAGUGUUAUCACAAUAAAAUUGGACUUCUUGAUCCACUUAAGGAUCAGUUUCAAAGUUAAUUGUGCUUUUAAUUCAUUCACAGUGCCUAAUAUUUAGAGCAGAAUAAUUUUAUGCUUAUACAGGUGACAUGGUUAAAUGGCACAGUGAUUGCUUUCUGGUUGCUUUUUUUCCCUUUAUGCAUCUUUGGAGAGCAGAUGUGCUUGGCUCAUGGUUUUUCCUCUGCUUAUCACUAAAAGUUUUUCUCAUAGAUUUUGGUUAAUUGUUUUAUUGGGAUCCUAUUUUGGCUAUCCUAGCAAUAGAAAGAAAAACCUCAGAAUUCCAGGUUAUUUCUAAGUGCAGGUAUUUUCAUUCUUUUGAUAAUGAGGAGCUCUAUCAUUUGAAAGACUCAGAUAUAAUAUUUGGCAAUUGUGGACUUGUUUCUAGGGAAUCUCCUUUCUGAACUUUCUGUCUACAACUCCAAGAACCUGAGACACUCUAUUUUUUUUUUUCAAGGCAAUGUGAGAACAUACAUCUUCUGAAAGAAGGCAAUGUCCUUCCUCAGGCAUGCCUACAACUCUUGGGAGGCUUGUGUGGAUGAGGGAAAUGGCACAUUCUGCUCUUAAUUGUUGGAGACCAGUUUGGUAAUUCCCACAGUCUCUGGUCCUAUGACUCUCGAUUAUUGGCAGGUCCUCAGCCAGUUGAGAACAGUGCUUUAGGGGUCCACUACUAGUUAUGUGAACAUGUAGUAGGCAGACUGGGAAUCACUGAUUUACUCAGUUACAAAAUGAAGGUAUUGCCAACUCAGGGCAAGAUUAUGCAUUUAAUCAUCUUGGGGUGAGUCUCACAUGUGCCCCCACUUGAGGGAUCAAAAUUGGCCAGUUCUUGAACCACCAUUACUGCUGUUGUCAUGAGUAUUCUGAAUACCAAAAAUUAAAGAUGAAUCUGCACUCUCAGUGGAAACACAACAGUCUAUAUUUUAAAAACCUCAAUUUCUCCAAGCACAUAGAAGAGUUAACUCUCUGAAGGGAACUGGAACGUGGCUAAGUAAUCUAAAGAAUAUGCUUAGUAUUACAAAUACUGGAUGAUUAGUUGUUUAUCAUUUAUAAUAAUAUUCCAGGGCAGCAUAUUCUGAGUUUUAUUUAUGUGUUCUAGUAUAGACAAAUUAUGUUUGCCUUGUGAGAAAUUCUAAGUGAUUGAAAUUAUACUUAAAUUUUAAGUAAUCACAAUGAAGUUCAGUUUGUGUUUGCUGUAUUAACUAUCUUAGUCAUUGUUGUUGUAAUAUUUGCUUUUGACACGCAUUUUGAGGUCUAAGAAAGGUAGUAUAUUAACAGUGCACUAAUUGUUUUGUUAGAAACUGUUAACAAAAAGUUGUGUGUAUGUGUGUAUGAAGGUGGAAACUUCCUUUUGUAUUGUAGUAACUUUUCAAAUGUAUUCAGUCAGUGAAACCAAGGAUUAUUAUAGCGCCAACAUUUUCCCUCAAGGAAGUGUUUAGUUCAGUGAAUGAAAGGUCUUAUAGUUUGUUUUGCAUGGUACAAUGGUUCUACUAAAAUGUACUUGUGUAAUAGGUAUUAGAUGACUUAAAAACAAAAACUGGGAAAACAUAAAAAAAUCCCACAGCUUGUCAUAAAAAUAUGCAUUGCUAAUAGUAGAAGCCAUAUAUUGCCAUUGUACUGUUGUUAUAUUUAAGAAUGCUCAUUUGGUGCUAUCUGUAAACCGUUUGGCAUUAGUGUUUGCUAGAUCCUUCUUUCUAUUUCCUCUUGAAUGUAUAAUGUGUGCCUUUUAAGUUACUUUUGGUGUUUAAUGGUACAAUCAUUGUGGUAUUUUUGUAUUAUAAUCGGCACUUUACACUUUUCUUGGAAAGUAAAAUUCCAGACUAUCCUGUUUAAAUAAUAUUUUAAAAAUAUUUAUAAAGUUUACAAUAAAUAUUUUAAAUAUUUUCAUUUAACAUCUAAAAUUUUUAGAAUAUUUGUAUGGUUUGUUAACUUCCUAAAGUUUAUUGUUGCUCUCUUUGUUUUGUUAUCUUUUAGAAUGACUAAAAAUGGGAAAGGCUGUAGUUUGUCUUUUAAUGUGGAAGUAAACUUUUAAGAAUUCAUAGGUAUAAAUAGAUUGUGUCACCAGUUGUUACAGAAUGUCAACCCUUAUUUUGUUUUAGUAGUAAUGAUUUGAAUUAGGUGUCACAACCAAACUACUAAGAUUCUAUUUUUUUUUCCUUUGUAAAGUUGCUUGAUUAGAUUUAAUUUAUUGAUUCAGGUCAUGAAUAAAUUUCCAGGGCUAAAUGAAAACUAUAUAGAGAUUUUAAUAAAUUGCCUUUUAUAUAGACUAAAUAUUAAAAGCAAAUAAAAAUAUUAAAAAUUUUUAUUGGAAAUCUUGGGUUAUACUGUUAGACAUUUUUGCUAGGUCUUUACCUCUGUCCAACAUUUUUCUAAUUCUCUAGCUUUUGGUAUGAUAUCUGUUGUCUCACAAAUCUUGCCUCUUAAAAACUGACAAAACUUACUGCACUAUUAAUAACAACUGUGUCAAUGAGUUUAUUAUAAGAUGGGUGCAAGGUAUUUUCUGGAAAAUAAUUAUAAAAUCAUGUUACAACAAUAGUUAUCUAAAACAGUAUAUUAUGGUCUAAAUUCUGAGGACAGAAUUAUGCUAAGCGUCUGUGUGAAGCUAGUGUUUAGCAGGAAGCAUUCAUGGUGAAUGAUUCGUUUUAAAAAUAAGAUUUUUUUUUCUGAUGAAUUAAUCUGUAUAUAUUUAGUUUCUCAUGGCAAGAAAAACAGUAUUCACUGUGCUAUAAUAUCAAUAGAAUAUUCUCUAUGAGCAUAUUUGUGUGUGUUCAUUUUCUUUUUCCUCUAAUUUAACAGGUGAUCACUGGUAUUCAUUCCCAUUUUAUCAUAGUAUUCUUGCUCAUAAGAUCUACAAUAAACAAAACACUCUGACUACAUAUGAAACUAUGAUUUGAUAGUCAUUUUCUAUUUUCCAUUUUAAGCAUAGUAAGCUGUAGACUAGGUGUGUUAAUUUUAACCAUUAAAGAAUUAACUUCAUUGUGUUAUUUCAAUUUAAAUUUGAUUAAAAUAUAAUAGUAAAAUAGGAAAGUUGUUUCCAUCUGAUGAUCAGUUUGUCUUGUUGAUUAAUAACUUGCAUCCAUCAGGAACUUUAGUGUUUGAUUUGGUCAUUUCUUUUGACCUUUAUCAAGGAAAAUAUUUGAAGAAUGUCUUGUUUCCUCUAACUCAUUUAGAAUGACUUAUUUCUCAUGUUAAUAAAUGUAUUUCUUUACCUUGCUUUAAAACACUUGCAUCUUUGUUCUUUUCUAACUCUGAACUUUCCACUGUGGCUGCAUCUGAGGUGCUUUUUUCAGGUGAUGAAACGUACCAGGAUAUUUUUCGUGAUUUUUCCCAAAUGGCAUCCAAUAAUCCAGAGAAAUUAAAUCGUUUCCAGCAGGACUCACAGAAAUUCUGAAAUUUUUUAAGAAGGUGGAACAUAAGAAACCUGAUGACCCUCACCAUGACUGAAAAUUCACAGAUUUUUACUGAAUUAAUUCUACUUAAUUUUGCUAUAUAUUGAAUGGUUUGGAGAAAAGGUACCCAUUCACUGAUGUUGUUAUAAAUUAAACAACUAGUAGUUGGGAGAGGACCCUAAUACUAUAGGACCUAUUUUAUUAAAAAAUUAAAAACCUGUUUAAAGGGUUUAUUUUUAAUAAAGUUGAAUCUAGAUUUCAUCUAACUGUAGGGUAUAGGAUACAAAGAGAUUAGACAGAAUCUUCUUCUCUCUUGCUCUUUUUUUUUGGUCAAGGGGGAUGAUGAUAGCAUUGAUUUUUUUUUUUUUUCCAUGCGUCGAGCGUGGGAUCAUUCAGUCCAGCAUGUCUGCAUCAAGUGGGAGCCAGCUGUUCCGCCUGCCUCAAGAAUGUGUUCUUUCUUUGGCUUCCAUGAUGAUUUUUGGUGGUUCAUAAAUAGGUGUAUGUGCUUUUUCUUUUUGGUAGCCUCCGUGUUGUACACACAAUGUAUGACUUCAUUUUGAAACUAGAGAUUAUGCUUUCCCCAUUUGCUCAUGAAUGCCCUUGGAUUCCUUAGAUGACAGGUUACUGCCUGAUACUUUUACAUACAUAUAAUAGCUGUAUAGUAAACCAUAGUUCAGUCCUUUAGAUUUAGUCCUUUCUAUGAAGCAGAAGAGAAACUGUUAAUUUUUUUUAACCAUCAAAAAAAUCCCAGUUCAGAAGUUAUAGUUCUUCAUUGUUGGAUUGAUUUCCUAAAACCCUAACAGAUUUGUUGAUAUAAUAAAACUGUUUCAAAGGUUACGUGAAUGUUGCAAAAUUAUGCUUUCAUCAAAACAUAACUUUCAAAGAAAAAAGUUGAUUUAUAAAAAUAAUAUAGAGCAUUUUUAUUUUGAGGUUUGCCCUUUUGAAGAUAACAUUAUUGCUGUUGCUGUUGGUGAAAGGAAAAUUUAUACAAAGUAGAAAAAAGACCCAUAUUUUCUUAGUUUACACUAAAGUAUACAGCAAAAACUUGCUUUUGAUUUCCAUCCUGUGUACUGUAAGCAAUGUACAUUCUUUUAAAUUACAGCAUGUAUAUAGCUUCAAUAUUUGCUUAUAUGAAUUACAAACCCUUAAAUUCCAAUACAUUAUCAGUAUAUUUAGUUACCAUUAUAUGUUACAAAUUAGUCUUAUCCCACCUUUGAUUGACAUAUCUUAUGGCAAGUAUAGAAGAGUUAGAUAAUUUGCCUUAUGGUACCUUUCUAAUGCUGUCAAUAAUUAAAUUUAACCCGUUAAAAUUAUUUGUAAAUAAUAUUAUUGAUACUCAGUUUCUACAUGAGGGUUUUACACUUGCAAAAGAGAAGUUGUAGUUAAUUGGAUAGGUAAUAAAUUUUCUAACAUUUUACCCCGAUAAGUAGAGUUUUAUAAAUUGAUGAAACACUAAAUCAUUAUCUAAAUAAGAAUUAUACUUAAAUAAAUUUAUAUCACAGAAAAGGGUCCAUACCUAGGCCUUUUUGGAUACAUUAAUGUUUAUUUAGUAAUGGUCAAUAUAUGUUGGAUAAGAAUAAAAUAUAUUUGUGAAUUAUUUCUGAGGAAAUGCUAACUUCCAAAACAUUGUAUUUUAACUAGAACAAUAUCAAGAACAUUAAAUCUUUCUUGUUUCACUUCAGAGUCAUAGAUCAAAGAUAGACUUUUAGAUACUUUAUCUAAAGGCAAAAACCUGAUUUGGAACAACAGUGUUUUUUAGAAUGUACUUGGAUAUUAGUUGUCCAGAAACUCAAGGAAAAGCAAUAUGUUAAAGAGAAGAAGAAAGAGAAGUGAAAAGAAAGCCCUCACUUCUUCUUUGUAGUGCCUGUUCCUGUUUAAUCCCAGGGCUUCACUCCUAAAGCUCUUGACCUUGAGGAAGUCUAGGCAGUUUUCCUUUUGGGUCCAGCCAUCGGUGCUUCCAUACACCUCUGAGAUAUGUGUGAUUGUGAAGGCAGUUGCUUAUGACACUCUUAACUCCUGUGGCUUGAGUCAUGGGUUGUUAAUAUGGCAGUAAUUAAUAUCUCCUUAAAUUUAAUGUUUAGAAAUAUAUUUUAGUGCCCUAAAGAUGAUCAUUAUUCUGAAUAUCUUCAGAGAAAUUUAAAUCUUUAAUAUUGCAGGGAAGCUGGCAAUACAGAAAUAUAUUUCUGUGGCUUGGUUUCUUGAAUGUGCUGGUAUCCAGUUUGGGCUAAAUUUGGCAGAAAUGAUAGAGUAAACAGCAAGGUUUUAAGUUAAAUUAAUAGUUACAAGGUAGGUUGGCUCUUAGGUGCAUUUAGCUGUGUCAGCUAAUAGCUUUUCUACAGUAUGUAACAAAUCCAAGUUUAGUUAUGCUGAGAAGUGUUCAGUCAUGAUGAGGAAUUACAGUGUGAACAGUGUUAAACAUUCUCUUGGGCUUCAUUAGUCCCUGUGAUUGCCCUUUGUUUUCUUUCCAUAAUUGAUCUGCUGACAUUAGUUUCUGAUUCCUAAUUACAUUUUUAGCUUAUUGUCAUUAGCUCAUAAACUUAAAAAUUGGAUUAAUGCCAAAGCAAGAAUAGUAAUACUACCUGUGAAGAGUUUAUAAAAUGCAGUUUCAUAUUAGAACUAGGCUAAAGGUAAUUGAACAGUUUAAUUGCAGUGCUUCCUUGCAUCAUUUAAUGUUUAAAAAUCUAAAGCUAGAAGUUAUCUUUAAUAAAAUCUUUAGAAAUUCAAAAAUUUCCAAGGAUUUACCACAUUAGAGUAUUAUCUAAUUUUUACUAGUCUUCAGCGUCGAUUUUAAUGAACUUCGGUGUUUACUCACCAAAACAAACAAACUUGACUUGGAAUAUGUACUUUGGUUCUUUAGGAGUGUAUUUUGGGGGAAAAAAUGUAUACCUUCACAAUCGAACAUCUUAAGUUUGUCAUACUUUAGCGGUAUUUUUUUAAAAAAACACAAUUUUACAUAUGUUCAAUGUGAUCACAGCAAACCAAAAUGUUGUAAGAUAUCCCAUUUGGAAUAAUUUCAUAUUCUAAUAUCACUCUUAUGUUGUCAGAUUAACUCUUGUAUGAUAACACCAUGGGCAUGGUACAUUUUUAUAGCAUUGAAUGGCUUUGGAACUGCAUGAUACAGUGGAAAGAGCACAGACCAGUAGUCACUACCCUUUUUGGAUUCAGGGUUCCUCACAGAUAAAAUUAGUGGGGUAAAACUAAAUGUAACAUAAAUAUGUAUUAUAAAUAUAACAGCACCCCUUUGUAUACUGCUUGCUACUUACAGUGUAAUUUGACAUUACUUUAUCUCACCUGAUUCUCACAGUGGGACUUCUGAGAUUCUUAUUGGGAGAUUGUCAACAUUGUCUGCUUUUUGAUCCUGUGGGCUCCUCUUGUUUUAUAGGGGUGGGGGAGUCAUUUGCUGUGAUAGUUGGUGACAGAGUUGACACCAUAACCCAGGUCUGACUGACUGACAGUCAGAGGCACUUUACUUGUAUCAUGAUACGAUUUGAAAUCAUUGUAAAGGAUCACAAUCUGAUAAUGACUGCCAGCUUUCCUUGUAUGCUCAUGGCAAGACUCCAAAUAUUUUGGAGAACCUGGAUUGAGGUUUGAAGGAAUAGAUGGAGAUUUGAAGAUGUAAAAUUGUAGAAAAUUUUGUAUUUUUUCAGUAAACAUUAGAGAAAGUAAAAAAAUUUAAAAAGCAAUUUUAAUUCAGCAUAUCCUUCUCAAUUACUGGAUGAUGCAUCCAAAUGAGAGAUAACUAAAUGGGGCAUGGGUUCAGUGUAUCUGGAUCCGGACAACUCUAAAUAUGGCUUUUUGGAUAUCUCUUUUCUGUUCAUAUGUAUUUAUUCACUGAAAGUGUGAUAAUAGGGAGUACAAAGCUAGAUUUGUUAAAAUAAUCUUUUCUCUGCAUUGGUCUUUGCAUUACUUAUUGUCUAGAUUUUCCCACUUUUCUUCAAACUCCCUAACACUCUUUUGGGUGUUAAUUUUAAGCAAGGAAAGCUUGCCACAUUAUAAAGAUUGUUUGGCACCAUUUUACACAAAGGUGAAAAGUUAACUUUUGGAAAUGAUGAGCUAUUUUUCCAUAAGUGUUUACUUGUGCUUUGUGGUAUUCUGGAUCAUUCCAGUCAUAAAGACUUAUUACAUGUAAUAUUUCUUGCUACCCAUGACAAGGUAUUUUUAAAGAAUGUAUAACCAACACUCCAUUUACUUUUUAUUAGUAUGUAGAGGAUUUGUAUCUAAUUAAUGAAUGUAGUUUUACUGUAGUUUGUCAUUGUAAAUGGAGCAAAGUACAAUAUCUUUAUAGUUAUUCUAAAAUGUACAUUAUGUAAGAAUUGUAAAUAUACUUGAUUAAGUACUUUGUAUGCUGAAAAAUUGCAAUAAUAAGUCAAUAAAAUUCUCACUUCUGGCAUA